Molecule: unclassified non-coding RNA, 345 nt
Filed under: soil metagenome
Description: partial contains 5.8S ribosomal RNA, internal transcribed spacer 2, and large subunit ribosomal RNA
Rfam family: 5.8S ribosomal RNA (bases 1-121)
Source: RNAcentral
GAUGAAGAACGUAGCGAAAUGCGAUAAGUAAUGCGAAUUGCAGAAUUUCCGUGAGUCAUCGAAUCUUUGAACGCACAUUGCGCCCACUGGUAUUCCGGUGGGCAUGUCUGUUCGAGCGUCAUUAUCCUCCCUCAAACCCCGGGUUUGGUGUUGGACCCAAGUUGUGUGAACAACUGGUCUCAAAGACAAUGACGGCGUCCGUGGGACCCUCGGUGCAACGAGCUUUUAGGAGCACGCGCCGAGUUGCAAGGACCUUCCGGGCCGGUCUCCUUUACUAUUUUACAAGGUUGACCUCGGAUCAGGUAGGAAUACCCGCUGAACUUAAGCAUAUCAAUAAGCGGAGGA